Molecule: ribosomal RNA, 331 nt
Filed under: uncultured eukaryote
Lineage: Eukaryota
Description: partial 18S ribosomal RNA
Rfam family: Eukaryotic small subunit ribosomal RNA
Source: RNAcentral
CCCUUAGAUGUUCUGGGCCGCACGCGCGCUACACUGUUCGACGCAGCGAGUCUUAACCUUGACCGAAAGGUUUGGGUAAUCUUCAGCAAAGUCGAACGUGAUGGGGAUCGAUCAUUGCAAUUAUUGAUCGUGAACGAGGAAUUCCUAGUAAGUGCAAGUCAUCAGCUUGCGCUGAUUACGUCCCUGCCCUUUGUACACACCGCCCGUCGCUACUACCGAUUGAAUGGUUCAGUGAGAUCUCUGGAUUGACGCUGGCUAGGGGGCGACCCUUGGCCAGACUGUCGAGAAACUGCUCAAACUUGAUCAUUUAGAGGAAGUAAAAGUCGUAACA